UGGGGAAUCUUGCGCAAUGGGCGAAAGCCUGACGCAGCAACGCCGCGUGCGGGAAGAAGGCCUUCGGGUUGUAAACCGCUGUCAGGAGGGACGAAGCCACUCGGGUGAAUAGCCCAGUGGGUGACGGUACCUCCAGAGGAAGCCCCGGCUAACUACGUGCCAGCAGCCGCGGUAAUACGUAGGGGGCGAGCGUUGUCCGGUAUCAUUGUGCGUAAAGCGCGUGUAGGCGGCUUGCCAAGUCCGGUGUGAAAUCUCGGGGCUCAACCCCGGAACUGCACUGGAAACUGGCUUGCUAGAGUCCGGAAGAGGAGAUUGGAAUGCCUGGUGUAGCGGUGAAAUGCGCAGAUAUCAGGAAGAACACCCGUGGCGAAGGCGGAUCUCUGGGACGGUACUGACGCUGAGACGCGAAAGCGUGGGG
Molecule: ribosomal RNA, 418 nt
Filed under: uncultured bacterium
Lineage: Bacteria
Description: bacterial SSU rRNA
Rfam family: Bacterial small subunit ribosomal RNA
Source: RNAcentral